This is a long non-coding RNA of Ananas comosus (pineapple), 299 nucleotides long. RefSeq lists it as uncharacterized. The transcript is spliced from 3 exons. NCBI's taxonomy places the organism in Eukaryota, Viridiplantae, Streptophyta, Magnoliopsida, Poales, Bromeliaceae. The record is from RefSeq and is a predicted model, not a curated record.
AUACUAAGUUUACCUUGGUGUUCAAUCAGGAAAAUUACAACAAAGCAUUAUCUGAGAAGGUUCCAUAUUCAAUUGAUGAGCACCGUCUUGAUGAUCCACACGUGAAAGCAAAUUUACUUUUGCAGGCACAUUUCUCGAGAGUAGAAAUGCCUAUCAGUGACUAUGUCACUGACUUGAAAUCUGUUCUUGAUCAAAGUAUACGUAUCGUCCAGGCUAUGAUUGACAUAUGUGCCAAUAGCGGAUGGUUUUCAAGCACAAUGAAUUGUAUGCAUCUUCUUCAAAUGAUCAUGCAGGUAUUA